GCCAUGUUAGGAAGUUUUGGAUUUAUUUGUAGGUUUAUGUGCUUUUGGUGUUAAACAGUAUUCAUUAUGGGCUGAAGUCUUUUUACCCAGAAUCCCACACACACCCUUCUGGUUUCAAGGUCUUGAUACACAGUAUUACACAAGGGUGGAUAAAUCAUUAGCCCAGACGCCUGGGAAAAGCAGAUUACACAUCUGGGUGGUCAGUUUUUUUAUUUUUUUUAUUUUUUCCCCCUUGCUCGGUGGCUAGGUGACUCAGUAGACUGAUGGUCUCCAGGAUUUUAUUAUUUUUUUCUUUCAGAGAAGUUUACCAGUCUCUCUAGCAGGCCAUUUGAUACCCUUUUGAAAGCAACACACUCAAACAGAUGAAUGAACUGGUGUCAUGAUUAACAUGUAAACGUCAGAAAGAUGUCGAUCCUGCUUGUUGUUGAUGAAUGACAAUGGGGAAGUUUUACAACGCGAAUACGUAGUCACGUCGCUGGGAAUUGACUCAUCAGUGGCCCGGUGUGCAGUGAGCCAGGACUUUACCAGUGCCCCAACUCGUGUACGCGAUAUACUGAUUCACCACCUAGGGAGUGAGGGAGCUGAUUGAGACACAGCUUUAAUCUUGCUAGCUUUACACCUGACCAUGCGCGUCUGCCCGCAUGAAAACACAAAACCCCGGGAUCCCAGUCCUGAUACAUAUCUGUAUCUGAAUACAGAGACUGUAGAUACUUGGAGUCAAAACCCCAGCGCCUGCUGCACAACAAACACCAACUGGGAAUUAGUCAGGUCAGUUAUAUUAAUACCAGUCUAUAUUACUGACUUUACGAACUAGCGAACUUGCUUAUUAUGCCUGGAGUAAGUUAAUGUAGCUACCAUUUUUAGCCUAGUUUAUGUCGCUAGUCUUUUAUUUUGUGAUAAUAGCAGCACAUAGCAGUGUAUUAUAACACAUAGCAGUGUAUUAUAACAGUGAUAAUAGCAGCACAUAGCAGUGUAUUAUAACACAUAGCAGUGUAUUAUAACAGUGAUAAUAGCAGCACAUAGCAGUGUAUUAUAACAGUGAUAAUAGCAGCACAUAGCAGUGUAUUAUAACACAUAGCAGUGUAUUAUAACACAUAGCAGUGUAUUAUAACACAUAGCAGUGUAUUAUAACAGUGAUAAUAGCAGCACAUAGCAGUGUAUUAUAACAGUGAUAAUAGCAGCACAUAGCAGUGUAUUAUAACACAUAGCAGUGUAUUAUAACAGUGAUAAUAGCAGCACAUAGCAGUGUAUUAUAACAGUGAUAAUAGCAGCACAUAGCAGUGUAUUAUAACAGUGAUAAUAGCAGCACAUAGCAGUGUAUUAUAACAGUGAUAAUAGCAGCACAUAGCAGUGUAUUAUAACAGUGAUAAUAGCAGCACAUAGCAGUGUAUAUUUUCACAUAGCAGUGUAUUAUAACACAUAGCAGUGUAUUAUAACAGUGAUAAUAGCAGCACAUAGCAGUGUAUUAUAACACAUAGCAGUGUAUUAUAAACAUGAUAAUAGCAGCACAUAGCAGUGUAUUAUAACACAUAGCAGUGUAUUAUAACAGUGAUAAUAGCAGCACAUAGCAGUGUAUUAUAACAGUGAUAAUAGCAGCACACAGCAGUGUAUUAUAACAGUGAUAAUAGCAGCACAUACAAAAACAGGACUCGCCUAUCAUAUGUUCUUUGUGAAGUUCAUUGAAAUAGAUAAGUUUUAUACUUCGCUGAGUUUUGUUUGAAGAUCUUGUUGGACUAUUGGAAGAGCAUCAGUCAGUAGAUUAUGUUGGAAGUUUUCAUGUGUAAUCGGCGCUUCUUCUGAGUCAGAGGUUCCGCAGAGCUUCUGCUGUACUGUAAGCGCUAGUGUGCAUGUUGAAGGGUUGUGCUGAUUGAAGAUAGAUUUUCCACUCCAUUUCAGUGUUUUACUGAGACUGCACAUUUCAUCACAUGCGUUUCUGUAUGCCGUAAGGGCCUCUUUAUCACUUCUAUGAGCACUGAAGUGCAGUCAAGGUCAGGACGUUUCAGCGAGGUUGCUCUAAAUGAAGCCGAAAGAGUUGCAACCAGUUUCCUAAUGCUCGUCCUCUAUUUUCCCCCUCAUGUAGUGCUCAGUUUGUGUCUGACUGAGAGAGAGAGAGAGAGAGAGACAGAGUUUUAUACGAUCGAUUGUAAAUAGUGUUGCUGUGUCCCGGCCACGUUGCCAUGGCUCUUAAUUAGAUUACUGAAUACGAGCUUCUUGGUGACGGUUUGAGCAAAAGCAAGUCGAUACAUUAACACAGCCUGCCAUGUCCCAUCACACCGUCCUUUACUAACGCACGCCCCGGCUGAGCAGAGGCCAGAGAGAUGGACCCUGAAAUCAGCACGACAGAAUGAAGAGGAGAGAGAGACAGAGGGUGGGAGAGAGAGGGAGAGAUAGAGAGAGGGAGGGAGAGAGAGAGAGAGA
Ictalurus punctatus (channel catfish) is the source of this 2418-nucleotide long non-coding RNA. Lineage: Eukaryota; Metazoa; Chordata; Actinopteri; Siluriformes; Ictaluridae. The record is from Ensembl.